This 1024-nucleotide long non-coding RNA is filed under the name Cricetulus griseus (Chinese hamster). RNAcentral describes it as "lncRNA (ENSCGRG00015029601.1)". Lineage: Eukaryota; Metazoa; Chordata; Mammalia; Rodentia; Cricetidae. The record is from RNAcentral.
CAUUGUUCAGGGAAAAAAAUUCCCAUUGUCUAUUGUCCACGGAAGAUCAAGAUCUGCCUAGGAACAGAGCAAGCGGGCGCCUCAGUGCACCCUGGAGGCCGAAAUAUCAAAGCAAUGGGAAUAUAAGACAGAAAAAAAUUCUUAAAAUCUUGAGGCUGGCAGGUAGAAUGUGGCAUACAUGUGACACCUGUGUCUAGCUCAAACUAAAUGAAGUCCAAUAGACCAGUGCCACAGCUACACAUCUUCUCGGGCCAGUUUCUAUGGGCCAGUGACUAGUCCUCCUUCACACUGAAAUGUAAGAUAGAUUCACAAAGAUGCCUUGAAAUGCAGCCAUCUUACCAGGACACAAAAGAUGUUUGUUGGACAGGACAUGCCACAUGUCAAGAGAGAGUGUCAACAGGAUGCUCUUGAAGUUGCCUUGCUGUGAGCUGAGUUGGGAUGGCUCCCAAGAGAAGCUGGAGAACCCUCUUCCAAGUGCUGCUCUUGAUGAUGCUGUGAGACAGUGGCUUGGCAGUGAAAACAACAGACCUUGGUGGCCAGCAGCAAGGACAAGCCCUUCCAACCCCAGGAUUUCAACUUCCCAGCACCACAGAAAGGCCCAUCUGGAGAGAGCAACCCACCCUGUGAACAGGACUGGAACUGUAAGUCACAGGUCCAGUCUUGUUUGGGAAACUCCACAGAAACAACUGCCAUUGGCUGGAGAUGGCUCAGUCAGUGAAGUGCCUUCCUAGAAAACAUGAAGACCCGAGCCCAACCCACUGGAACCCAUGUUAAAAAUAAGUACAAGUGUGGGGGUAUGCACUUGUACUCUCAAUGCUAGGGAGGCUGGUACAAGUACAUUCCAUGACUCUUUGACCAGCCAGCUUGACCUUCUUGGUGAAUUCCAGGUCAGUGAGAGACUCUGCCUCAAAAACAAACAGACAGAAAAGAAGUGGAUGACAACUGAGGUGAUAGCCUGGCCUGGCCUUUUAGUAAGCACUUACACAAAUACGUGUGUGUGUGUGUGUGUGUGUGUGUGUGUGUG